AUUAUUUGUACAUUAACAUUAACAGAAGGCAGAAAAACAUUAAUAGAUGUCUUGUGCCAGAUUGUAGCAAAUUGCUAAUUUCCGCCCGUAGUCCCUGGGCAGGUAAAUGGCACAUUAAAAUACAGACAAAGUAUUUACAGUACAACAUAUAAAAUACAGAUACAUAAAGUC
Molecule: long non-coding RNA, 171 nt
Organism: Sander lucioperca (pikeperch)
Lineage: Eukaryota; Metazoa; Chordata; Actinopteri; Perciformes; Percidae
Exons: 3
Source: RefSeq, a predicted model, not a curated record